UACGGGGGGGGCAAGCGUUGUUCGGAAUUACUGGGCGUAAAGGGUGCGUAGGCGGUGCUCUAAGUCGGAUGUGAAAACUCUGGGCUCAACCCAGAGCCUGCAUCCGAAACUGGAGUGCUAGAGUUCUGGAGGGGGUAGCGGAAUUCCUGGUGUAGCGGUGAAAUGCGUAGAUAUCAGGAAGAACACCCGUGGCUAAGGCGGUUCUCUAGUACGGUACUGACGCUGAGACGCGAAAGCGUGGGGAGCGAACAGG
Molecule: ribosomal RNA, 253 nt
Filed under: uncultured bacterium
Lineage: Bacteria
Description: partial 16S ribosomal RNA
Rfam family: Bacterial small subunit ribosomal RNA
Source: RNAcentral